GGCGAACGCUGGCGGCGUGCUUAACACAUGCAAGUCGAACGAUGAAGCCCAGCUUGCUGGGUGGAUUAGUGGCGAACGGGUGAGUAACACGUGGGCAACCUGCCCCAAACUCUGGGAUAACUCCUCGAAAGAGGUGCUAAUACCGGAUACGAACUAGACAGACAUCUGUACUAGUUGGAAAGUUUCUCGGUCUGGGAUGAGCUCGCGGCCUAUCAGCUUGUUGGUGAGGUAAUGGCUCACCAAGGCGUCGACGGGUAGCCGGCCUGAGAGGGUGACCGGCCACACUGGGACUGAGACACGGCCCAGACUCCUACGGGAGGCAGCAGUGGGGAAUAUUGCACAAUGGGCGGAAGCCUGAUGCAGCAACGCCGCGUGAGGGAUGACGGCCUUCGGGUUGUAAACCUCUUUUAGCAGGGAAGAAGCGAAAGUGACGGUACCUGCAGAAAAAGCGCCGGCUAACUACGUGCCAGCAGCCGCAGUAA
This 482-nucleotide ribosomal RNA is filed under the name uncultured bacterium. RNAcentral's name for it is "partial 16S ribosomal RNA". It matches the Rfam family "Bacterial small subunit ribosomal RNA", at positions 28 to 523 of the family's 1533-position model. The record is from RNAcentral.